RNAcentral lists this long non-coding RNA (831 nucleotides) under Salvia miltiorrhiza (redroot sage). RNAcentral's name for it is "long non-coding RNA (SMIL_LNC000733)". The record is from RNAcentral. Lineage: Eukaryota; Viridiplantae; Streptophyta; Magnoliopsida; Lamiales; Lamiaceae.
CUGAAGAUCUGGGUCAUGCCUGAGUUUCACACGCACUUCCUUCUCCGGUGAAAACAAAGAACAGCGGCCGACGUCUCCUUCCCAGCCGGCGCCGCACUAAUCUGUAAAUGUGUAACAUAAUAUCAUUAGUACAUUUCGAACAGACCUUACAAAUAUUUGAACAGACUAACUAGCUUAAAGAACACAACAACACCUAUGAAAUGAAACUCCAUUUGCGCACAACCCUACUUCUAUGAUUAACGUUGUUGCUACCACAAUCAGCACAACAACAACAGAUGAGACUAAAAGUUUCAAAACCCAAAAUGAACGAAACGAACGAAAGUUCUUACCGAUUCUAAAGUUUCAUCUGGAUUUGAAUCUUGCUUCAUUGUUUGAACAAAUGCGACGUUCGAAAGACCAAGAAAGUGCGAAUAGAAAUGUCGGCAAAAAGAAUAACCACUGAACUGGGAUUAACCACAAGAAAAUUUUUAAUUCUCGAAUAUGAUAUGCAUCGUCGCCCAACAAAACAAUGAACGCUCAAUGAAACAAAAGUCGAAAUGAACUUGAAACAAAAUUGAAUUUCCUAUAGCAAACAAUAUUUGGCAGGACGAAAAUCCCCAAAACAAUUCGAACAAAAUCAAAAACCCUAUACCAAGAAACAUGUAAUACAUCUUGUUCCAUUUUAAAUCAAAACACCCAUGGAAAUUUCGAACAAAAUCGUAAAUAUAAAUUCGUUUACAGAAUCUGAAUCAAAACUAAAGAACACACAAAAAAAAAUCGAACCAAAGCAAUAAACACAUUUACUCAGCUGUUCAAUUUUUGCAAAAAUCGUAUCUUGAAGCAGCAAUCCAA